GUCGAGCGAACGGACGAGAAGCUUGCUUCUCUGAUGUUAGCGGCGGACGGGUGAGUAACACGUGGAUAACCUACCUAUAAGACUGGGAUAACUUCGGGAAACCGGAGCUAAUACCGGAUAAUAUUUUGAACCGCAUGGUUCAAAAGUGAAAGACGGUCUUGCUGUCACUUAUAGAUGGAUCCGCGCUGCAUUAGCUAGUUGGUAAGGUAACGGCUUACCAAGGCAACGAUGCAUAGCCGACCUGAGAGGGUGAUCGGCCACACUGGAACUGAGACACGGUCCAGACUCCUACGGGAGGCAGCAGUAGGGAAUCUUCCGCAAUGGGCGAAAGCCUGACGGAGCAACGCCGCGUGAGUGAUGAAGGUCUUCGGAUCGUAAAACUCCGUUAUUAGGGAAGAACAUAUAUGUAAGUAACUGUGCACAUCUUGACGGUACCUAAUCAGAAAGCCACGGCUAACUACGUGCCAGCAGCCGCGGUAAUACGUAGGUGGCAAGCGUUAUCCGGAAUUAUUGGGCGUAAAGCGCGCGUAGGCGGUUUUUUAAGUCUGAUGUGAAAGCCCACGGCUCAACCAUGGAGGGUCAUUGGAAACUGGAAAACUUGAGUGCAGAAGAGGAAAGUGGAAUUCCAUGUGUAGCGGUGAAAUGCGCAGAGAUAUGGAGGAACACCAGUGGCGAAG
Molecule: ribosomal RNA, 677 nt
Filed under: uncultured Staphylococcus sp.
Lineage: Bacteria; Bacillati; Bacillota; Bacilli; Caryophanales; Staphylococcaceae
Description: bacterial SSU rRNA
Rfam family: Bacterial small subunit ribosomal RNA
Source: RNAcentral